UGUAUAUAUUUAAAUUCUUUGUUUCUUCUAAAAUUUUAGUUGCUUUGUUUCUUUUUAGUUUUUGUUGUUUUCCACGAUCUCAUAUUGAAGUAGGUUAUAGUCGUCUCUGCUUAUUAUAUGCCUUGUUUCCUUUGGGUGUCACUGGUUUGAAUUCAUUCAUUUUUUGAAUGGUCUGAUAUCAUGUUGAUCUUAGCCUCCUGGUCUGAAAUUUUACAUGGUUUGUUGAUCCUUGUCUCUUGAUUCUGUAUUUUUCUCACCUCUGAGGUUCUGAAUGGGUUUAUUAGAUUCUUAUCUUUUUCAUAUGAUGAUUCUCAGUAGGUGUCUUCUUUUAAGAGUUUCAUAUCAAUCAUAUUUCUUUCCUAGUAAUGGUGAGCUUCAGUAUUUACACAUGUUAGGAUAAAUUGAUUUUCUGAAAAUUGUGACUACUGAUAUUAGCUUUGUUUUAAUUUCCUGAUUUUUUUACUUCUAAGUUUUUGCUAAGUGUUAUAGUUUUGCCAUUUUUCCUGCAUAGUCAAUUGAGUCUUUUUUUGUGUUGGUUUUGGUUCAUCUUAAUGUAUUCGUUGAUAUUCAUAUAGUCUUGAAGUUGUGAUAAUUGUCCCCACCCUUUGUUAUUUAAUAAGGUCAC
This 625-nucleotide long non-coding RNA is filed under the name Nicotiana benthamiana. RNAcentral describes it as "long non-coding RNA (NBEN_LNC004497)". Lineage: Eukaryota; Viridiplantae; Streptophyta; Magnoliopsida; Solanales; Solanaceae. The record is from RNAcentral.